Molecule: long non-coding RNA, 765 nt
Filed under: Mytilus galloprovincialis (Mediterranean mussel)
Lineage: Eukaryota; Metazoa; Mollusca; Bivalvia; Mytilida; Mytilidae
Source: RNAcentral
AAUUGUCAUGGCAACAUUUAAUCAAAAUUCAUUCAUUAAACAACAACAACUGUUACAACAACAGUACACAACCAAAAUAUUUGUCAAUCAAUAAAAUGUUGAUGAUGAUUGAACUAAUCAUUGUAUCACAGCUUGGCGAUCCAAAGCUGGUGUACUGAAGGGCGGUCCAUUCAGCAAUAUUUCAGAAUUAGCAGCUGGACUAUCCAUAGUCUGCAUAAAAUGAAGUAAAUUUCGCUCCGGUUGUGCGACUGCUUCAGCAUGUUACCAUGACGGAUAUUUGUAUGAAGACUGGAGCAUCUGAAAAAUAAAUAAAACCAGCAGCAAACAAAGUUCAAUUCUUAAGGGGGAGAGGAUGGGUCUUAAUUUUUUAACGUCACUCUGUUCGGUUUUCAAGGUAAAAGAGACCGUUAAAUUGCACGGACUUUUACUACUCGGCUGUCACAUGCUCAAAUUAGCAUAAUAAGAGUAAGGACGACUCGAUUUGUCGAGUCUCAAUACAUGUAUAUGUUAAUUCAAUAAAUGAAUUUAAUUUUCAUUUAAUUAAAUUUUAUUAUUGAAUAUAUCUUUUGAUCAAAAAUAUCACUUGGUGUAAAUUAACCAAUUAUCAGAAUUGACGAACAGACGCCAUUGAUGCCUUGAUUUGAAUUUCACUACAACAAAUAACAAACACUGAUUUUGUUUGGAUAUUGAAUUGUCAUGGCAACAUUUAAUCAAAAUUCAUUCAUUAAACAACAACAACUGUUACAACAACAGUACACAACCAAA